AGUGAACGCAGGCGGCGUGCUUAACACAUGCAAGUCGAACGAGAACGGGUUAUAGCUUGCUAUAAUUGUCAGCUAAGUGGCGCACGGGUGAGUAAUGUAUAGGUAAUAUGCUUCUUACUAAGGGAUAACAAAUGGAAACGUUUGCUAAUACCUUAUACUCCUUAUUAACAUAAGUUAAUAAGGGAAAGAUUUAUUGGUAAGAGAUUAGCCUGUAUUGUAUCAGUUAGUUGGUGGGGUAAUGGCUUACCAAGACUAUGACACAUAACUGGUUUGAGAGGAUGAUCAGUCACACUGGAACUGAGACACGGUCCAGACUCCUACGGGAGGCAGCAGUGGGGAAUAUUGCACAAUGGACGAAAGUCUGAUGCAGCAACGCCGCGUGGAGGAUGACACAUUUCGGUGCGUAAACUCCUUUUAUAUGAGAAGAUAAUGACGGUAUUAUAUGAAUAAGCACCGGCUAACUCCGUGCCAGCCGCCGCAGUAA
RNAcentral lists this ribosomal RNA (484 nucleotides) under uncultured bacterium. RNAcentral's name for it is "partial 16S ribosomal RNA". It matches the Rfam family "Bacterial small subunit ribosomal RNA", at positions 29 to 523 of the family's 1533-position model. The record is from RNAcentral.